AUUGAACGCUGGCGGCAUGCUUUACACAUGCAAGUCGAACGGUAACAGGCCUUCGGGUGCUGACGAGUGGCGAACGGGUGAGUAAUGCAUCGGAACGUGCCCAGAUGUGGGGGAUAACGCAGCGAAAGCUGUGCUAAUACCGCAUGUUAUCUGAGGAUGAAAGCGGGGGACCAGGCAGCAAUGUUUGGCCUCGCGCCUUUGGAGCGGCCGAUGUCAGAUUAGGUAGUUGGUGGGGUAAAGGCCUACCAAGCCGACGAUCUGUAGCUGGUCUGAGAGGACGACCAGCCACACUGGGACUGAGACACGGCCCAGACUCCUACGGGAGGCAGCAGUGGGGAAUUUUGGACAAUGGGCGCAAGCCUGAUCCAGCAAUGCCGCGUGCGGGAAGAAGGCCUUCGGGUUGUAAACCGCUUUUGUACGGAACGAAAAGGAUCUGGCUAAUACCUGGGGAUGAUGACGGUACCGUAAGAAUAAGCACCGGCUAACUACGUG
Molecule: ribosomal RNA, 492 nt
Filed under: uncultured bacterium
Lineage: Bacteria
Description: partial 16S ribosomal RNA
Rfam family: Bacterial small subunit ribosomal RNA
Source: RNAcentral